RNAcentral lists this ribosomal RNA (449 nucleotides) under uncultured bacterium. Its description in RNAcentral is "bacterial SSU rRNA". It matches the Rfam family "Bacterial small subunit ribosomal RNA", at positions 335 to 799 of the family's 1533-position model. The record is from RNAcentral.
ACUCCUACGGGAGGCAGCAGUGGGGAAUCUUGGACAAUGGGGGCAACCCUGAUCCAGCCAUGCCGCGUGAGUGAUGAAGGCCUUAGGUCGUAAAGCUCUUUCGCCUGUGAUGAUAAUGACAGUAGCAGGUAAAGAAACCCCGGCUAACUCCGUGCCAGCAGCCGCGGUAAUACGGAGGGGGUUAGCGUUGUUCGGAAUUACUGGGGCGUAAAGCGCGCGUAGGCGGACCAGAAAGUUGGGGGUGAAAUCCCGGGGCUCAACCCCGGAACUGACCUCCAAAACUCCUGGUCUUGAGUUCGAGAGAGGUGAGUGGAAUUCCGAGUGUAGAGGUGAAAUUCGUAGAUAUUCGGAGGAACACCAGUGGCGAAGGCGGCUCACUGGCUCGAUACUGACGCUGAGGUGCGAAAGUGUGGGGAGCAAACAGGAUUAGAUACCCUGGUAGGAUAGCG